AACUAACAUAUCAAUAAGCGGAGGAAAAGAAACCAACAGGGAUUGCCCUAGUAACGGCGAGUGAAGCGGCAACAGCUCAAAUUUGAAAUCUGGCUCUUUUAGAGUCCGAGUUGUAAUUUGCAGAGGGCGCUUUGGCUUUGGCAGCGGUCCAAGUUCCUUGGAACAGGACGUCACAGAGGGUGAGAAUCCCGUACGUGGUCGCUGGCUAUUGCCGUGUAAAGCCCCUUCGACGAGUCGAGUUGUUUGGGAAUGCAGCUCUAAAUGGGAGGUACAUUUCUUCUAAAGCUAAAUAUUGGCCAGAGACCGAUAGCGCACAAGUAGAGUGAUCGAAAGAUGAAAAGCACUUUGGAAAGAGAGUCAAACAGCACGUGAAAUUGUUGAAAGGGAAGCGCUUGCAGCCAGACUUGCUUGCAGUUGCUCAUCCGGGUUUUUACCCGGUGCACUCUUCUGUAGGCAGGCCAGCAUCAGUUUGGGCGGUAGGAUAAAGGUCUCUGUCACGUACCUCCUUUCGGGGAGGCCUUAUAGGGGAGACGACAUACUACCAGCCUGGACUGAGGUCCGCGCAUCUGCUAGGAUGCUGGCGUAAUGGCUGUAAGCGGCCCGUCUUGAAACACGGACCAAGGAGUCUAACAUCUAUGCAGGUUUGGG
This 648-nucleotide ribosomal RNA is filed under the name Alternaria arborescens. RNAcentral describes it as "LSU rRNA". It matches the Rfam family "Eukaryotic large subunit ribosomal RNA", at positions 32 to 696 of the family's 3401-position model. Lineage: Eukaryota; Fungi; Ascomycota; Dothideomycetes; Pleosporales; Pleosporaceae. The record is from RNAcentral.